AACGAACGCUGGCGGCAUGCCUAACACAUGCAAGUCGAACGAGACCUUCGGGUCUAGUGGCGCACGGGUGCGUAACGCGUGGGAACCUGCCCUUAGGUUCGGAAUAACUCCCCGAAAGGGGUGCUAAUACCGGAUAAUGUCUUCGGACCAAAGAUUUAUCGCCUUUGGAUGGGCCCGCGUUGGAUUAGCUAGUUGGUAGGGUAAAAGCCUACCAAGGCGACGAUCCAUAGCUGGUCUGAGAGGAUGAUCAGCCACACUGGGACUGAGACACGGCCCAGACUCCUACGGGAGGCAGCAGUGGGGAAUAGUGGACAAUGGGCGAAAGCCUGAUCCAGCAAUGACGCGUGAGUGAUGAAGGCCUUAGGGUUGUAAAGCUCUUUUAACCGGGAUGAUAAUGACAGUACCGGGAGAAUAAGCGCCGGCUAACUCCGUG
This 433-nucleotide ribosomal RNA is filed under the name uncultured bacterium. RNAcentral describes it as "partial 16S ribosomal RNA". It matches the Rfam family "Bacterial small subunit ribosomal RNA", at positions 29 to 507 of the family's 1533-position model. The record is from RNAcentral.